RNAcentral lists this ribosomal RNA (305 nucleotides) under uncultured bacterium. Its description in RNAcentral is "bacterial SSU rRNA". It matches the Rfam family "Bacterial small subunit ribosomal RNA", at positions 335 to 638 of the family's 1533-position model. The record is from RNAcentral.
CUACCUACGGGGGGCAGCAGUGAGGAAUAUUGGUCAAUGGGCGAGAGCCUGAACCAGCCAAGUCGCGUGAAGGAUGAAGGAUCUAUGGUUUGUAAACUUCUUUUAUAUGGGAAUAAAGUGAGGAACGUGUUCCUUUUUGUAUGUACCAUAUGAAAAAGCAUCGGCUAACUCCGUGCCAGCAGCCGCGGUAAUACGGAGGAUGCGAGCGUUAUCCGGAUUUAUUGGGUUUAAAGGGUGCGUAGGCGGACAGUCAAGUCAGCGGUAAAAAUGCGGUGCUCAACGCCGUACAGCCGUUGAAACUGGCA